GGGGAAUAUUGCGCAAUGGGCGGAAGCCUGACGCAGCGACGCCGCGUGAGGGAUGACGGCCUUCGGGUUGUAAACCUCUUUCAGCAGGGACGAAGCGAAGGUGACGGUACCUGCAGAAGAAGCACCGGCCAACUACGUGCCAGCAGCCGCGGUAAUACGUAGGGUGCAAGCGUUGUCCGGAAUUAUUGGGCGUAAAGAGCUCGUAGGCGGUUUGUCGCGUCGGCUGUGAAAGCCCGGAGCUCAACUCCGGGUCUGCAGUCGAUACGGGCAGACUUGAGUGUUGCAGGGGAGACUGGAAUUCCUGGUGUAGCGGUGAAAUGCGCAGAUAUCAGGAGGAACACCGAUGGCGAAGGCAGGUCUCUGGGCCACUACUGACGCUGAGAAGCGAAAGCAUGGGGAGCGAA
This 404-nucleotide ribosomal RNA is filed under the name uncultured bacterium. RNAcentral describes it as "bacterial SSU rRNA". It matches the Rfam family "Bacterial small subunit ribosomal RNA", at positions 356 to 772 of the family's 1533-position model. The record is from RNAcentral.